UGGGGUAUAGCCAAGCGGAAGGCAGCGGGUUUUGAUCCCGCCAUUCUCAGGUUCAAAUCCUGAUACCCCAGCCA
Molecule: transfer RNA, 74 nt
Filed under: Pseudidiomarina donghaiensis
Lineage: Bacteria; Pseudomonadati; Pseudomonadota; Gammaproteobacteria; Alteromonadales; Idiomarinaceae
Description: Idiomarina donghaiensis tRNA_Gln_TTG
Rfam family: tRNA
About the family: Transfer RNA (tRNA) molecules are approximately 80 nucleotides in length. Their secondary structure includes four short double-helical elements and three loops (D, anti-codon, and T loops).
Source: RNAcentral